This 492-nucleotide ribosomal RNA is filed under the name uncultured bacterium. Its description in RNAcentral is "partial 16S ribosomal RNA". It matches the Rfam family "Bacterial small subunit ribosomal RNA", at positions 29 to 507 of the family's 1533-position model. The record is from RNAcentral.
AGUGAACGCUGGCGGUAGGCCUAACACAUGCAAGUCGAACGGCAGCACAGUAAGAGCUUGCUCUUACGGGUGGCGAGUGGCGGACGGGUGAGGAAUACAUCGGAAUCUACUUUUUCGUGGGGGAUAACGUAGGGAAACUUACGCUAAUACCGCAUACGACCCACGGGUGAAAGCAGGGGAUCUUCGGACCUUGCGCGAUUGAAUGAGCCGAUGUCGGAUUAGCUAGUUGGCGGGGUAAAGGCCCACCAAGGCGACGAUCCGUAGCUGGUCUGAGAGGAUGAUCAGCCACACUGGAUCUGAGACACGGUCCAGACUCCUACGGGAGGCAGCAGUGGGGAAUAUUGGACAAUGGGCGCAAGCCUGAUCCAGCCAUACCGCGUGGGUGAAGAAGGCCUUCGGGUUGUAAAGCCCUUUUGUUGGGAAAGAAAAGCAGCAGGUUAAUACCCCGCUGUUCUGACGGUACCCAAAGAAUAAGCACCGGCUAACUUCGUG